AGAGCGAACGCUGGCGGCAGGCCUAACACAUGCAAGUCGAGCGCUCGUAGCAAUACGGGAGCGGCAGACGGGAUAGUAACACGUGGGAACGCGCCCUUCGGUUCGGAAUAACUCAGGGAAACUUGAGCUAAUACCGGAUACGCCCUUACGGGGAAAGAUUUAUUGCCGAAGGAACGGCCCGCGUCCGAUUAGCUAGUUGGUGAGGUAAUGGCUCACCAAGGCGACGAUCGGUAGCUGGUCUGAGAGGAUGACCAGCAUCACUGGGACUGAGACACGGCCCAGACUCCUACGGGAGGCAGCAGUGGGGAAUCUUGCGCAAUGCGCGAAAGCGUGACGCAGCAACGCCGCGUGGGGGAAGAAGGCCCUCGGGUUGUAAACCCCUUUCAGUUGGGACGAAGCUUCGUCGGUUAAUAGCCGACUGGAGUGACGGUACCUUCACAAGAAGCACCGGCUAACUACGCGCCAGCAGCCGC
This 473-nucleotide ribosomal RNA is filed under the name uncultured bacterium. Its description in RNAcentral is "SSU rRNA". It matches the Rfam family "Bacterial small subunit ribosomal RNA", at positions 26 to 518 of the family's 1533-position model. The record is from RNAcentral.